GGCUCACGCCUGUAAUCCCAGCACUUUGGGAAGCCGAGGCGGGCGGGUCACCUGAGGUCAGGAGUUUGAGACCAGCCUGGCCAACAUGGUGAAACCCUGUCUCUACUAAAAAUAUAAAAAUUAGCCGGGCUUGAUGGUGGGUGCCUGUAUUCCCAGCUACUUGGGGGACUGAGGCAGGAGAAUCUGAGGCAGGAGAAUCGCUUGAACCCAGGAGGCAGAGGUUGCAGUGAGCCGAGACCAUGCCAUUGCACUCCAGCUUGGGCAACUCUGUCUCAAAAAAAAAAGAAAAAGACUAGCCUGGGCAACAUGGCGAAACCCUGUCUCUACAAACAAGUAUUAGCCGGGUAUGGUAGCAGGCGCCUGUAGUCCCAGCCACUCAGGAGGCUGAGGUGGGAGGAUUGCCUGAACCCGGGAGGUCAAGGCUUCAGUGAGCUAUGAUGCACCACUGCACUCCAGCCUGGGUGACAGAACGAGAUCCUGUCUUAAAAACAAAAACAAAAGCAAGGCUGGGUGUGGCUCAUGCCUGUAAUCCUAGCACUUUGGGAGGCCAAGGCAGGCGGAUCACUUGAGGUCAGGAGUUUGAGACCAGCCUGGCCAACAUGGUGAAACCCUGUCUCUACCAAAAAAAUAGAAAAAUUAGCUGGAUGUGAUGGCACGCACCUUUAAUCCCAGCUACUCGGGAGGCUGAGGUAAGAGAAUCGUUUGAACCCCGGAGUUGGAGGUUGUAGUGAACAAGACUCUUGUCUCAAAAAAAAAAAAAAAAAUACUUGGGAGUUGUGUAUAGGUAAGUAAAACAAGAUUGGCAAACAUUGAUAGUUAUUGAAGCUGGACAGUGACUACUUAGGAAUUCAUUAUAUUUUCUCUCUGCUUUUAUGCAUGUUUGAAAUUUGUGUAUAACAAAUAAUAAGUUUUAAAAACAUACCCUGUGGUUAUUUAAAAAAAGGAAGGGGCUCUCAGAAUGUACUGAUAAAAUGAUCUCCAGGAUUUAAGUGAAAAGGCAAAGUAGAACAAUGUGUAUAAUGGGUUACUAUUGGGGUUGACAAAGGGGAAAGAAAAGAAUAAAUAUGUAUUUGUUUAUACUCAUAUGUUAGAAUAUCUCUAGAAGUCUUCACAAGAAGUGCCUCUUGGGACAGAGUUAAGAGAAAAGGCUUGCUUUUCAUUAUGUUUUUUUAUACCCUUUGAAUAUAUACAUUAUGUACUAUUAAAAAAAUAGAUGUUUGAAAAGAGUAGAAUUAGGAAGACGAAUUCUAGACACAUAUACCUCUAUCAGUUUAGAACAACAGAAUAUUAAUGCUGAAAGAAUUUUAGAUUUGGACCAUCUCAUUUUAAAACUAAAAAAGCUGAAGUCUAGAGAGAGAUAAUUUUUUCAUUGCAUUUAUGUGACUGGUGUCAGAGG
Molecule: long non-coding RNA, 1396 nt
Filed under: Homo sapiens (human)
Lineage: Eukaryota; Metazoa; Chordata; Mammalia; Primates; Hominidae
Description: non-protein coding lnc-RPS10-2:1
Source: RNAcentral